GCACUCCACAGAGAGAACUAUAUUAUGAGGAUUACAAAAAUUAUCCAACAAAUAAGCCAUAAUUUUGACUUUUUAAUUUAAUAACUGAGAGAGAGUUCGUGAUAAAAUUCUAAUAGUAUUUUACUCACUAUAUAUCUUCAUUUUGGUAAAGUAGUCCCAUACAUAUACAUUCACAGUAUUUUCAGCAAUUACAGUUAUUCUUUCCUAGAUUAGUAGUCGUCUUAAGCAUUAAGUUUCUGUUGUCUGAGUUAAGUUUCUGUUAGACGCGCCUUUCC
This 275-nucleotide long non-coding RNA is filed under the name Chinchilla lanigera (long-tailed chinchilla). Its description in RNAcentral is "lncRNA (ENSCLAG00000022565.1)". Lineage: Eukaryota; Metazoa; Chordata; Mammalia; Rodentia; Chinchillidae. The record is from RNAcentral.